CAGAAUAUAGUUUAGCGGAGAAUACCACCUUUGGGAGUUGGUGGAAGAGGUUUGAGUCCUCAUUUUCUGA
RNAcentral lists this transfer RNA (70 nucleotides) under Bubo bubo (Eurasian eagle-owl). RNAcentral's name for it is "tRNA-Pro". It matches the Rfam family "tRNA". From Rfam's summary of the family: Transfer RNA (tRNA) molecules are approximately 80 nucleotides in length. Their secondary structure includes four short double-helical elements and three loops (D, anti-codon, and T loops). The record is from RNAcentral. Lineage: Eukaryota; Metazoa; Chordata; Aves; Strigiformes; Strigidae.